Molecule: ribosomal RNA, 246 nt
Filed under: uncultured Enterobacteriaceae bacterium
Lineage: Bacteria; Pseudomonadati; Pseudomonadota; Gammaproteobacteria; Enterobacterales; Enterobacteriaceae
Description: partial 16S ribosomal RNA
Rfam family: Bacterial small subunit ribosomal RNA
Source: RNAcentral
CACGCCGUAAACGAUGUCUAUUUGGAGGUUGUGCCCUUGAGGUGUGGCUUCCGGAGCUAACGCGUUAAAUAGACCGCCUGGGGAGUACGGCCGCAAGGUUAAAACUCAAAUGAAUUGACGGGGGCCCGCACAAGCGGUGGAGCAUGUGGUUUAAUUCGAUGCAACGCGAAGAACCUUACCUGGUCUUGACAUCCACAGAACUUGGCAGAGAUGCCUUGGUGCCUUCGGGAACUGUGAGACAGGUGC